AGAGUUUGAUCAUGGCUCAGGAUGAACGUUGGCGGCGUGCCUAAUACAUGCAAGUCGAACGGGAAGGCGCUUUCGGGCGCUGGAGAGUGGCGAACGGGUGAGUAACACGUAACUGAUCUGCCCUGUAGACUGGGAUAACCUUUGGAAACAGAGGCUAAUACCGGAUGAGCUUGCGGUAGUUAGAGAGCCGUAAGGGAAAGCAUUGGUGCUAUGGGAUGAGGUUGCGGACCAUCAGCUAGUUGGUGAGGUAAAGGCUUACCAAGGCGAUGACGGAUAGGGGAUCUGAGAGGGUGGCCCCCCACACUGGGACUGAGACACGGCCCAGACUCCUACGGGAGGCAGCAGUAAGGGAUAUUGCACAAUGGACGGAAGUCUGAUGCAGCGACGCCGCGUGGGUGAAGAAGGUUUUCGGAUCGUAAAGCCCUUUUCUAUGUGACGAGGAAGGACGGUAGC
This 453-nucleotide ribosomal RNA is filed under the name uncultured bacterium. RNAcentral's name for it is "bacterial SSU rRNA". It matches the Rfam family "Bacterial small subunit ribosomal RNA", at positions 8 to 479 of the family's 1533-position model. The record is from RNAcentral.